CCUACGGGGGGCAGCAGUGGGGAAUUUUGGACAAUGGGCGCAAGCCUGAUCCAGCCAUGCCGCGUGAGUGAAGAAGGCCUUCGGGUUGUAAAGCUCUUUCGGCUGGGAAGAAAUCGCACUCUCUAAUACGGGGUGUGGAUGACGGUACCAGCAUAAGAAGCACCGGCUAACUACGUGCCAGCAGCCGCGGUAAUACGUAGGGUGCGAGCGUUAUUCGGACUUACUGGGCGUAAAGUGUACGCAGGCCGUGAAAUCCCCGGGCUCAACCUGGGAACUGCGUGUGUGACUGCACGGCUAGAGUACGGCAGAGGGGGGUGGAAUUCCACGUGUAGCAGUGAAAUGCGUAGAGAUGUGGAGGAACACCGAUGGCGAAGGCAGCCCCCUGGGCCAGUACUGACGCUCAUGCACGAAAGCGUGGGGAGCAAACAGGAUUAGAUACCCGUGUAGUC
Molecule: ribosomal RNA, 449 nt
Filed under: uncultured bacterium
Lineage: Bacteria
Description: partial 16S ribosomal RNA
Rfam family: Bacterial small subunit ribosomal RNA
Source: RNAcentral